CGUGCGGUGCCUGGCAUAAAGGUCGAUAUUCGGCGAUUGAUCAGGUAGCGGCAUGACCGAUAGAGGU
This is a non-coding RNA of Marinobacter excellens HL-55, 67 nucleotides long. The record is from Rfam. Lineage: Bacteria; Pseudomonadati; Pseudomonadota; Gammaproteobacteria; Pseudomonadales; Marinobacteraceae.